Apis dorsata (giant honeybee) is the source of this 1368-nucleotide long non-coding RNA. RefSeq lists it as uncharacterized. Lineage: Eukaryota; Metazoa; Arthropoda; Insecta; Hymenoptera; Apidae. The record is from RefSeq and is a predicted model, not a curated record. The transcript is spliced from 2 exons.
AAACACGAUCAACACAAACCGUUAAUUACUAUUCCAUUUUCUCUAUCAAUUUGAAUGUCCACAAUUUAAUCUUUACAUGUACCUAAUUUUUAAAUAUAUAUAUAUAUAGCUUGUUCUUUAAUAGAAAAUAUUUAAUAAUGUCAAAUCAAUUUACAAUAAAAAAUCAUAUUGAAAUCAAUGGUCAAAAAGAGCAAUUAAAACCGAUUAUAAAUGUUAAACGUUCAACUUUAUCAGAAUAUGCAAUAUCACAUAUUCGAACAAUUUCACGAAAAAUUUGUUCAGAAAUUCAAAUCGUUUCAGAUGUAAAUUAUGACGAUUUGUGCGGACCGUGGAUAUACUCAAAAAAUCCUCUUUAUAGUCAGUAUAUUGAUAUACCGUGUCCAAGUUUGUGCAUUUGGAAAUAUUUUACAGAAGAGGACAUAACUUAUCUAAAAAAAAAUCAAGAAAAUAAAAAUAUGAUAGUUUCUUUUUUUGGUAAAUAAAUAUAUAUUUCUCUGAUAAAUAUUAAUUAUGUAUGUAAGAUAAAUUAAUAUAAUUUUUUUCCAGAAAAUAAAUUGUUAAAUGAAACUACAGUAAAAAAUAAUACUGUUGUUUCAAAUGUAUUAUGGGAAUUCUUUAAAUUUGCUAGAUUAAAUUUAUUCACUGAGAAAAGCAUUUCUGCAUGUUUGGGUAUUGUGUAUUUAACACAUUUAUUUUUUCUUUCACAUCCAUGGUUGACAAUUCAAGAAGUCUAUCAAUUUUUUAAUAAAACUAUUUUAUUACAUGUUGUUUUGGUUUGUAUAUUAUCAAAUUUAUCAAAUUAUUCAGUUUUAUAUUAUAAUUUGUUUUUUUUUAAUGAAUGCUAUGAUUUUUAGAAACAUACAAACAUACAAAUUCUUUUCAUAUGCAUUUUCUUAAUUUAAUUUUGAUAACUGUGUUUAUAUUUUUUUUUUUUAGAUAUAAACAAAAGAUAAAAUUAUAUUUUUUGAUUAAUUUUUAUUUAUUAAAUAAUAUAAUUAUUUUUUUAUAAUAUUCCUAUAAUAUACCUAUCAAAAAAUUGUAACUAAAUACAUAUGUUAAAAAAUAAUGAAUCUUACUUACAUGAACAAAUGCAUAAUUCUAUUUUGUGUUUUUAAAUAAUAUUGUAAUUAAAAAGCAAAUUUAUAUAGUUUAUAUAAUUUAUGUAGUAUAAAAUAGUAAAUACUAAUAUAAAAAAAUAAAAAGUUUAAAAAAAAUUAUCAUUUAAAAGAAAGAAAUAACAUUUAAGUGAAAUUUAUAUGCAAUUUAUCAAUGCAUAUGAAUUAGAUAAUGUUUGUAUUUUUGUAUUGUAUAUUUGUAUUUUCAUUUUUAUCAUAAUAUUAUUUAAUAAGUAAACGUUUUUAAAAUUUA